UUUGCCAUAGGGGAAAGCUUGACAGGGUUACUUUGAAGGAUCUCCGUUAAGGAGAUCUUUUUGCUCCUUUAAAAAUGCUGCAGGAUAAGGGGUGGGCAAGUCUGGUGUCCGCCCCCCCGGUUAUUCCAGCCCCCCGCGUGGUCGGGACGUUUUUUGGACCUAAAGCAUUCGUUGCCGGUUCUUCAAGUUCUCCGUUAAAUCCACCUGCUUAACAGAUGGGAUGCGGAAGAUACUAUAGAGCUAGGAGGCGGGAGAGGCAAGCGGUACUCGAUGGGUAGGGGUAAAAUCCGUUGAUCCAUUGAAGACCACCAGUGGCGAAGGCGGCUUGCCAGAACGCGCUCGACGGUGAGGGAUGAAAGCUGGGGGAGCAAACCGGAUUAGAUACCCGGGUAGUCCCAGCGGUAAACGAUGCAGACUCGGUGAUGAAUGGGCUUAUUGGUAAUUCAGUGCC
RNAcentral lists this ribosomal RNA (451 nucleotides) under uncultured crenarchaeote. RNAcentral's name for it is "partial 16S ribosomal RNA". It matches the Rfam family "Archaeal small subunit ribosomal RNA", at positions 349 to 802 of the family's 1478-position model. The record is from RNAcentral. Lineage: Archaea; Thermoproteati; Thermoproteota.